UACGUAGGGUGCAAGCGUUGUCCGGAAUUAUUGGGCGUAAAGAGCUCGUAGGCGGUCUGUCACGUCGGCUGUGAAAACCCGGGACUCAACCCCGGGCCUGCAGUCGAUACGGGCAGACUAGAGUGUGGUAGGGGAGACUGGAAUUCCUGGUGUAGCGGUGAAAUGCGCAGAUAUCAGGAGGAACACCGGUGGCGAAGGCGGGUCUCUGGGCCGAUACUGACACUGAGGAGCGAAAGCGUGGGGAGCGAACAGG
This 253-nucleotide ribosomal RNA is filed under the name uncultured bacterium. RNAcentral describes it as "partial 16S ribosomal RNA". It matches the Rfam family "Bacterial small subunit ribosomal RNA", at positions 524 to 776 of the family's 1533-position model. The record is from RNAcentral.